GACGAACGCUGGCGGCGUGCUUAACACAUGCCAGUCGAACGGAAAGGCCCUGCUCUUGUUGGGUGCUCGAGUGGCGAACGGGUGAGUAACACGUGAGUAACCUGCCCUUGACUUUGGGAUAACUCCAGGAAACUGGGGCUAAUACCGGAUAGGAGCUCCUGCUGCAUGGUGGGGGUUGGAAAGUUUCGGUGGUGGGGGCUGGACUAGCGGCUUAUCAGCUGGUUGGGGAGGUAGUGGCUGACCAGGCCUUUGAAGGGUAGCCGGCCUGAGAGGGUGACCGGCCACAAUGGGACUGAGAUACGGACCAGACUCGUACGGGCGGCAGUAGUGGGGAAUAUUACACAGUGGGCGGAAGCCUGAUGCAGCAGCGCCGCGUGCGGGAUGACGGCCUUCGGGUUGUAAACCGAUUUCGCAUGUGACGAAGAGUGAGUGACGGUAAUGGGUAAAGAAGCACCGGCUAACUACGUG
RNAcentral lists this ribosomal RNA (468 nucleotides) under uncultured bacterium. Its description in RNAcentral is "partial 16S ribosomal RNA". It matches the Rfam family "Bacterial small subunit ribosomal RNA", at positions 28 to 507 of the family's 1533-position model. The record is from RNAcentral.